CCAGCCCUCACCUUUCUCCCAUGCUGGGUGCUUCCUGCCCUCGAAUAUCAGACUGCAAGUUCUUCAGCUUUUGGACUCUUGGACUAACACCACUGGUUUGCCAGGGGCUCUCGAGCCUUCAGCCACGGCUGAAGGCUGCACUGUCAGCUUCCCUACUUUUGAGGUAUGGACUCAGACUGAUCCACUACCGGCUUCCUUGCUCCUCAACAUGCAGAUGGUCUAUCAUGGGACUUUACUUCGUGAUCAUAUGACAAUUUGCUACACCAACAAUAG
This 273-nucleotide long non-coding RNA is filed under the name Homo sapiens (human). RNAcentral's name for it is "HSALNT0318988". Lineage: Eukaryota; Metazoa; Chordata; Mammalia; Primates; Hominidae. The record is from RNAcentral.